AGCAGCCGCGGUAAUUCCAGCUCCAAUAGCGUAUAUUAAAGUUGUUGCAGUUAAAAAGCUCGUAGUUGAAUUUCGGGAUCAAAUUGUUGGUCGUGCCUCGGUACGCACUGGUAUUAUUGGUUCCUACCUUCUGAAGAACCGCGAUGUCAUUAAUUUGGUGUCGUGGGGAAUCAGGACUGUUACUUUGAAAAAAUUAGAGUGUUUAAAGCGGGCUUACGCUUGGAUACAUUAGCAUGGAAUAAUGAAAUAGGACGUUUGAUUCUAUUUUGUUGGUUUCUAGGAUUGACGUAAUGAUUAAUAGGGAUAGUUGGGGGCAUUAGUAUUCAAUUGUCAGAGGUGAAAUUCUUGGAUUUAUUGAAGACUAACUACUGCGAAAGCAUUUGCCAAGGAUGUUUUCAUUAAUCAAGAACGAAAGUUAGGGGAUCGAAGACGACCAGAUACCGUCGUAGU
This 450-nucleotide ribosomal RNA is filed under the name uncultured Glomus. RNAcentral describes it as "SSU rRNA". It matches the Rfam family "Eukaryotic small subunit ribosomal RNA", at positions 569 to 1024 of the family's 1831-position model. The record is from RNAcentral. Lineage: Eukaryota; Fungi; Glomeromycota; Glomeromycetes; Glomerales; Glomeraceae.